UGUUCUCCCAAGCACCAGGGGGACCCCUGGUCUUAGAUUCAAGUUGCAUCACUAGACUAACCAGCUCUGGGAACCAGAGGGACACUGGAGGAACUAGUUUGGGAAAUGAAAAAUAUCUGCAAUGAGAAGUAAUUUUAUUCUCCUCUUCCUUUUACCCCAGUCUCACUCUCCAUAGUAGGACCUGGAUCUUUGCAUCAGAGAAAACAUAAUGAACAAUAACUGGAAUGUGUGUUUCUUUCUUUUCUGCCCUAGUAUUACUAGAACAUUUGCAUCGGGAAAAACAGAAAAGGUGAUCUUUCAAGCACUCAAGGAGUUAGGUCUUCCCAGUGGAAAGAAUGAUGAAAUUGAGCCCGUGGCAUUUUCUUAUGAAAAGUUCUAUGAACUGACACAAAAGAUUUGUCCUCGGACAGAUAUAGAAGAUCUUUUCAAAAAAAUCAUCAACGAGAUCCUCGAUUGAAUGAAAUUUUAUUUCCAUUUUAUGAUGCCAAAAGGGCAAUGCAGAUCAUUGAGAUGUAUGAACCUGACGAAGAUUUGAAGAAAAAAGGCCUUAUAUCAAGUGAUGGGUUUUGCAGAUAUCUGAUGUCAGAUGAAAACGCCCCAGUCUUCCUAGAUCGUUUAGAACUUUACCAAGAAAUGGACCAUCCUCUGGCUCACUACUUCAUCAGUUCUUCCCAUAACACUUAUCUCACUGGCAGACAGUUCGGCGGGAAGUCUUCGGUAGAAAUGUACAGACAAGUUCUCCUGGCUGGUUGCAGAUGUGUUGAACUUGACUGCUGGGAUGGAAAAGGUGAAGACCAAGAACCAAUAAUAACUCAUGGAAAAGCAAUGUGUACAGAUAUCCUUUUUAAGGAUGUAAUUCAAGCCAUCAAGGAAACUGCAUUUGUCACAUCAGAAUAUCCUGUAAUUCUCUCCUUUGAAAAUCACUGCAGCAAAUAUCAACAGUACAAGAUGUCCAAAUAUUGCGAAGAUCUAUUUGGGGAUCUCCUGUUGAAACAAGCACUUGAAUCACAUCCACUUGAACCAGGCAGGGCUUUGCCAUCCCCCAAUGACCUCAAAAGAAAAAUACUCAUAAAAAACAAGCGGCUGAAACCUGAAGUUGAAAAAAAACAGCUGGAAGCUUUGAGAAGCAUGAUGGAAGCUGGAGAAUCUGCCUCCCCAGCAAACAUCUUAGAGGACGAUAAUGAAGAGGAGAUCGAAAGUGCUGACCAAGAGGAGGAAGCUCACCCCGAAUUCAAAUUUGGAAAUGAACUUUCUGCUGAUGACUUGGGUCACAAGGAAGCUGUUGCAAAUAGCGUCAAGAAGGGCCUGGUCACUGUAGAAGAUGAGCAGGCGUGGAUGGCAUCUUAUAAAUAUGUAGGUGCUACCACUAAUAUCCAUCCAUAUUUGUCCACAAUGAUCAACUACGCCCAGCCUGUAAAGUUUCAAGGUUUCCAUGUGGCAGAAGAACGCAAUAUUCAUUAUAACAUGUCGUCUUUUAAUGAAUCAGUCGGUCUUGGCUACUUGAAGACACAUGCAAUUGAAUUUGUCAAUUAUAACAAACGGCAAAUGAGUCGCAUUUACCCCAAGGGAGGCCGAGUCGAUUCCAGUAAUUACAUGCCUCAGAUUUUCUGGAACGCUGGCUGCCAGAUGGUUUCGCUGAACUAUCAAACCCCAGAUUUAGCGAUGCAAUUGAAUCAGGGAAAAUUUGAGUAUAAUGGAUCGUGCGGGUACCUUCUCAAACCAGAUUUCAUGAGGCGGCCUGAUCGAACAUUUGACCCCUUCUCUGAAACUCCUGUUGAUGGUGUUAUUGCAGCCACUUGCUCAGUGCAGGUUAUAUCAGGUCAAUUCUUAUCAGAUAAGAAAAUUGGCACCUACGUAGAGGUGGAUAUGUAUGGGUUGCCCACUGACACCAUACGUAAGGAAUUCCGAACUCGCAUGGUUAUGAAUAAUGGACUCAAUCCAGUUUACAAUGAAGAGUCAUUUGUAUUUCGGAAGGUGAUCCUGCCAGACCUGGCUGUCUUGAGAAUAGCUGUGUAUGAUGAUAACAACAAGCUGAUUGGCCAGAGGAUCCUCCCGCUUGAUGGCCUCCAAGCCGGAUAUCGACACAUUUCCCUUCGAAAUGAGGGAAAUAAACCAUUAUCACUACCAACAAUUUUCUGCAAUAUUGUUCUUAAAACAUAUGUGCCUGAUGGAUUUGGAGAUAUCGUGGAUGCUUUAUCAGAUCCAAAGAAAUUUCUCUCAAUUACAGAAAAGAGAGCAGACCAAAUGAGAGCUAUGGGCAUUGAAACUAGUGACAUAGCCGACGUGCCCAGUGACACUUCCAAAAAUGACAAGAAAGGAAAGGCCAACACCGCCAAAGCAAAUGUGACCCCUCAGAGUAGCUCUGAGCUCAGACCAACCACCACGGCUGCCCUGGCCUCUGGUGUGGAAGCCAAGAAAGGUAUUGAACUUAUCCCUCAAGUAAGGAUAGAAGACUUGAAGCAGAUGAAGGCUUACUUGAAGCAUUUAAAGAAACAGCAGAAGGAGCUAAAUUCUUUAAAGAAGAAACAUGCAAAGGAACACAGUACCAUGCAGAAGUUACACUGCACGCAAGUUGACAAAAUUGUGGCACAGUAUGACAAAGAGAAGUCGACUCAUGAGAAAAUCCUAGAGAAGGCAAUGAAGAAGAAGGGGGGAAGUAAUUGUCUCGAAAUGAAAAAAGAAACAGAAAUCAAAAUUCAGACGCUGACAUCAGAUCACAAAUCUAAGGUCAAAGAGAUUGUAGCACAGCACACAAAGGAAUGGUCAGAAAUGAUCAAUACCCACAGUGCUGAGGAGCAAGAAAUCCGAGACCUGCACCUCAGCCAGCAGUGUGAGCUGCUGAAAAAGCUACUCAUCAAUGCCCACGAGCAGCAAACCCAGCAGCUGAAACUGUCCCAUGACAGGGAAAGCAAGGAAAUGCGAGCACACCAGGCUAAGAUUUCUAUGGAAAAUAGCAAAGCCAUCAGCCAAGAUAAAUCUAUCAAGAAUAAAGCAGAACGGGAAAGGCGAGUCAGGGAGUUAAACAGCAGCAACACUAAAAAGUUUCUGGAAGAAAGAAAGAGACUUGCCAUGAAGCAGUCCAAAGAAAUGGAUCAGUUGAAAAAAGUCCAGCUUGAACAUCUAGAAUUCCUAGAGAAACAGAAUGAGCAGGCGAAGGAGAUGCAGCAGAUGGUGAAAUUGGAAGCCGAGAUGGACCGCAGACCAGCAACAGUAGUAUGAAACUCCAAAAUGCAAACUGAAGCAGCAAACCCACAAAGCAUCAAAAGACUCACUCACAAACUUCUGAACACAAACUCCAUGGAUGAAAGCUGUUUAUUUUGUUUCCUUUAUGUGUAAACAAGAUGAUAUCUGAAACCAGAGAGACUUGGAAUGUCUGACUGACUUCUAUUUAACAGCUUGAGUAUUGCAUUUCCUUGGCCAAACAAAAAUAGCUACAAAUCCACAAAAAUUUACUAUUCCAGUAAGGCAGAGUUCAACCAUUGAUAAUACAACUUAAACAUGUUUGCUAUAAAAUACCAUCACAAGUAAAUGAGCUUGGUGUGAACAACUCUCCUUUGUGAUGCCUUAGGACAUGUUUGAACUGCAGCAAAAAACAAAAACAAAAAACAGUGCAUUAGCAAUUUCAUAGCAAGUGCAUGCACUAGGAAAAGAAAACUCUGUCUACAAAUUUAUUAGCAGAAGUGGCGGUCUGCUAGACAAAUAAUUUUGCAAAAUUUUUCUACAUCUAAGUUACCUCAUCAGUAAGUGCCAUGUCUCUACCAUGCCAUCAGAGGCUAAUUUCCUGUAAAAGUUGUGGAAAUUGUUAGAACAAUAGAAAAAUAGAGCAGUGUAUGUGUGCCAAAACUCAUCAUUACUCAAAGGAGAACUGUGUUAGGCACAUUUAAGAAAGUUUACAUCUGACAUUGCUUUAUAGGAAUUGUUUCUGCAGAUUCCGGGUAUUAUAAUUCACACCAUAAAGAUUGUGAAGUGGUUAUUGGCAAACGUUUGUAAAUGUGACCAUGUAUAAAGUAUUUAUACUCUUUAAUUCACACUGUUAGAGAGCAAAAUCAUCUAAGUAUUGCCACAUGACAAGAUUAGUAAACAGGAAUACUAGAACUAUGUUUGCAUGAUACACAAGCACCAAUAAAGACUAAUCCAUACACAGUUAACCUAAUGCCAAAUAAAUACUGGUUAAAUAAAUGUAUGGCACAGAAUAUAAUUUGACUAUCAAGACUUUUAGCAUAAUGAAAAACCCCCUCUCUAUAUAUAUAUGUGUAUAUGAAUUAUGUGGGCAUUCUUGAUACUUCAAGUUCUAGUUUGAAAAAAAUACAUAACUAAUUUAAUUUUACACAAAAAUAUUUAUGCAGAUUUUCAGAAUUUCAUAUCAGGAAAUGACCUUUUUAUGUCUGUUAAAUAUCAAAACAAUUUGCUACAGUGUUAAUCUGCAUGGUCUUUAAGCCUGCUGUAGUUGAGUUGCAGACAGUGCAUGAAAAAGUAUUCCGCUGGGAAUUGAGCCAUGCCACCAAAGCCAAGAGGAGCGCAUGGAAACCCGGUAGUCUAGAACUAAUCAGAUUACUGAUUUUAGGGCACAGCACCAAAUGAAUUGUUGUAUAUGCUUGUAAAAAUUGAUUCUGUGUGUUCCUCUGAACAAAGCGGAGAAAAUGAUGAUACCAUCAAUAUUGAAAUUAAACUUCCAACUUCUCUAAUAAAAAAUUAAAACACGCAUAACACUCGUCAAGAGUAUUUGCUCCCAAGACACAUUCUAGCAAAUGUUUUGCCUUUUUCAUAUACCUGAUAUCAUCGUUAUUUUCAAAGGGGGCUUAUUAAUACCCUCAGCAUGUUUUUCACCCAAAUGAUGCAAAACAUGCAGAUUCUAGUUGACUUCAGAUGUAAUAGACUUGUUUUUCUCCUAUUUAUGAUUUGAAGUGGAUUCUGUAAAAUAUCUCUUAUUCUUAGUUUCCUUAUCUGUAAAACAGUGGAGUUAGACUACAUAUCUUUUGGCACUAACAAACAUCUCAUGAAAAAUUAUGGUUAAUAAAAUAUCACCACAUUUGGAUUGCCAAUUUUCAAAGAUUCUGAGUGGCUUCUCAUCAUCAAAUCAAAGCAAAUCAAAUCCAAGAGCUCAACUAUGCUCACCAUUCUGUAACACUUGACUGAAUUCAUCACUUGCCUCCUGUUGUUUCUGCUUUGGAGAGGUACUACUAGUUUUUCCAUUUUUCUUAUUUCUUCCCUGGCUUUUCAUCCUCCUAGGCCACCAUAAGCAUUUAUAUUUUCCAGUGUUAUAUAUGGAACCAGUUUUUUUUUCUUUGAUCCAGCUUACUUUUAGUAUUUGAGACAUCAUACCAUUAAUCCAUUGUAGUAGGAUUAAAAUGUACACACAACUCAAAUGUGCAACAAAAGCAUGUGUUGCCUGCUAUUGUAAGUUCAUAUUGCACUCAAACCUUGCCUUAUCCCUUAUUAUGAAGAAAAUUUAAUAGCCAAUUAAAGUAACUCAGUGUCUUCCA
This 5483-nucleotide small RNA is filed under the name Pan troglodytes (chimpanzee). RNAcentral describes it as "processed transcript". Lineage: Eukaryota; Metazoa; Chordata; Mammalia; Primates; Hominidae. The record is from RNAcentral.